UGGGGAAUCUUGCGCAAUGGCCGCAAGGCUGACGCAGCGACGCCGCGUGCGAGAGGACGCCCUUCGGGGUGUAAACCGCUGUUGCCCGGGACGAACCUGGCUUUUCGAGGCCACUGACGGUACCGGGUGAGGAAGCACCGGCUAACUCCGUGCCAGCAGCCGCGGUAAUACGGAGGGUGCGAGCGUUGUCCGGAAUCACUGGGCGUAAAGGGCGCGUAGGCGGCUUCUUAAGCGGGCGGUGAAAGCCCGGGGCUCAACCCCGGGUCGGCCGUGCGAACUGGGAAGCUGGAGCACUGUAGAGGCGAGUGGAAUUCCGGGUGUAGCGGUGGAAUGCGUAGAGAUCCGGAAGAACACCGGUGGCGAAGGCGGCUCGCUGGGCAGUGGCUGACGCUGAGGCGCGACAGCGUGGGGAGCAAACAG
RNAcentral lists this ribosomal RNA (420 nucleotides) under uncultured bacterium. Its description in RNAcentral is "bacterial SSU rRNA". It matches the Rfam family "Bacterial small subunit ribosomal RNA", at positions 355 to 775 of the family's 1533-position model. The record is from RNAcentral.